AAAUGAAUAGACGGGGGCCCGCACAAGCGGCGGAGCAUGUGGAUUAAUUCGAUGCAACGCGAAGAACCUUACCUGGGUUUGACAUCUACCGGACCGCUCCAGAGAUGGGGCUUCCCUUGUGGCUGGUAGACAGGUGGUGCAUGGCUGUCGUCAGCUCGUGUCGUGAGAUGUUGGGUUAAGUCCCGCAACGAGCGCAACCCUUGUCCUGUAUUGCCAGCGCGUAAUGGCGGGGACUUGCAGGAGACUGCCGGGGUCAACUCGGAGGAAGGUGGGGAUGACGUCAAGUCAUCAUGCCCCUUAUGUCCAGGGCUUCACACAUGCUACAAUGGCUGGUACAGAGGGCUGCGAUACCGUGAGGUGGAGCGAAUCCCUUAAAGCCAGUCUCAGUUCGGAUUGGGGUCUGCAACUCGACCCCAUGAAGUCGGAGUCGCUAGUAAUCGCAGAUCAGCAACGCUGCGGUGAAUACGUUCCCGGGCCUUGUACACACCGCCCGU
RNAcentral lists this ribosomal RNA (494 nucleotides) under uncultured bacterium. RNAcentral's name for it is "bacterial SSU rRNA". It matches the Rfam family "Bacterial small subunit ribosomal RNA", at positions 903 to 1397 of the family's 1533-position model. The record is from RNAcentral.